RNAcentral lists this ribosomal RNA (228 nucleotides) under uncultured bacterium. RNAcentral describes it as "partial 16S ribosomal RNA". It matches the Rfam family "Bacterial small subunit ribosomal RNA", at positions 524 to 754 of the family's 1533-position model. The record is from RNAcentral.
UACGAAGGGGCUAGCGUUGCUCGGAAUCACUGGGCGUAAAGGCGCGUAGGCGGCCGGCCAAGUCGGGGUGAAAGCCUGUGGCUCAACCACAGAAUGGCCCUCGAUACUGGACGGCUCGAGACCGGAAGAGGUUGGUGGAAUUGCGAGUGUAGAGGUGAAAUUCGUAGAUAUUCGCAAGAACACCGGUGGCGAAGGCGGCCAACUGGUCCGGAUCUGACGCUGAGGCGC